Molecule: long non-coding RNA, 1461 nt
Organism: Mandrillus leucophaeus (drill)
Lineage: Eukaryota; Metazoa; Chordata; Mammalia; Primates; Cercopithecidae
Exons: 2
Source: RefSeq, a predicted model, not a curated record
AGAGGAAGGAAGAGGUGAAUGGAAAAAGUGUGGCAACUUACUUGGCUCUCUUAUCCUGCAGUAGGUGAGUCCUCUGCAUGGGAUCUUUGAGGGCUGAGAGCGCUUUUCUGUUAAAGGAACGUCUGCAAAAAACAAGAGAAAUACAUUUGAACAGUCCCAAGGGGAGGUAAUUUCAGAGUAGACACCUAUUUCUCCACCAGAAGCAAAGCAGAUCCCAGAUCCUAAAAUCAGGCUUGAGGAAGCAAGAGGAAGCAUCCAGGAACCCCAAAGCAGGCAGUGGAUUACCCAUUGGCUCUGGGUAAAGCCAAGAGGGUUUAGAGAGGGAUUUGCACUGUUUUGAGAAGCUUGCAGCUUCCUGAUUCAACUCCUCUCCAAGGAAAGAGGCUCAGUAGACCAACCAAGCCACUUUUCCUCUCUUAAGGGAUGAAGACCAAAGAUGCAACUUGCCCAGCUGUCUGUUAUGAACUAAAUUGCAUCCCCGCAAAAUUCAUAUGUUGAAGUCCUAACACCUUGUACCUCAGAAUUUGACUGUAUUUGGAGACAGGGUCUUUACAGAGGUAAUUAAUGUGACAUGAGGUCAUGAGAGUGAGCCCUAAUCCAUUAUGAGGGGCAUUUAUAAAAGGAGGAGAUUAGGACACAGACAAGAAUGCACGGAGAAAAGACCAUGUGACGACUGAGGGAGGGUGUGGCCAUCUACAAGUCAAGGAGAGAGACAUCAGAAGAAACAAUCCUCACAACGCCUUGAUUUUGGAGUCUAGCCUCCAGAGCAGUAAGAAAACAAACGGUCAUCCAGGAUGUGGUCAUUUGUUAUGGCAGCCCUCGAAAACCAACACACAGUAGAACAACACCAGAGGCAAAUCAGAAAGAAAAUGAGAUGCAGACUCCAGCAGCCUGGUCUCCCAGUCAGGACACAAGCCAGACCUGGACGGAAGUGGUCACAGCACUUCUAGCUCCAAAAUAGCCACUGGGCGGAGGCUCCUAGUUCCUCCUCCCUCCAACUCCAUGCAGCCUGCUCUGUCCCCGUCUUCUCAGGCUCACUCAGUGCAGUGUCUGCCUGCAUCCCUCUAUCAGGGGCCUUCCUCUGCCCACAGAGGGAGUUAUAUACAAGCCCGAGGAAUGAGGAAGAGAAGACAAAAGCAAGAUGGAGCCUCACUGUCUGAUUUUCCCAGACGUUCCCAGGAGGACCUGGUUAUGCAAGGCGGUCUGCAUUUUCAUCCUCACAGCCACCCUUGCAGGUGGGAAUGACCCUCCCUUCCUAAAGAUGAGAAAACCUGAACUGGGAGUGGUGGCUCGCACCUGUAAUCCCAGGGACUCAGGAUGCUGAAGCAGGAGGAUCGCUUGAGCCCAAAAGUUUGACACUGCAGUGAGCUAUGAUCCCACCACUGCACUUUAGCGUAGGUGACAAAGUGAGACCCUAUCUCUAAAAAAAAAUAAAUAAAUAAAAAUAAAAAUAAAAGAUGA